AGAGUUUGAUCAUGGCUCAGGACGAACGCUGGCGGCGUGCCUAACACAUGCAAGUCGCACGGAGGUAGCAAUACCUCAGCGGCGAACGGGUGAGUAAUGAAUCGCUAAUGUACCCUGGACUCUGGGAUAGCUGGCCGAAAGGUCGGGUAAUACCAGAUGAUAUAUCCGCUCCGCAUGGAGUGGAUCUCAAAGGUCCGCCGGUCUGGGCGCAGGCGAUUUCGUAUCAGCUAGUUGGUGAGGUAACGGCUCACCAAGGCGACGACGCGUAGCCGGACUGAGAGGUUGGCCGGCCACAUUGGGACUGAGACACUGCCCAGACUCCUACGGGGGGCUGCAGUAACGAAUCUUCCGCAAUGCACGAAAGUGUGACGGAGCGACGCCGCGUGUAGGACGAAGCCCUUCGGGGUGUAAACUACUGUCAGGGGAAAGAAAGUUCUGAUCUACCCCAGAGGAAGGGACGGCUAACUCUGUGCCAGCCGCCGCGGUAAUAC
RNAcentral lists this ribosomal RNA (491 nucleotides) under uncultured bacterium. Its description in RNAcentral is "bacterial SSU rRNA". It matches the Rfam family "Bacterial small subunit ribosomal RNA", at positions 8 to 526 of the family's 1533-position model. The record is from RNAcentral.